This 69-nucleotide transfer RNA is filed under the name Eudyptula minor (Little blue penguin). Its description in RNAcentral is "tRNA-Trp". It matches the Rfam family "tRNA". From Rfam's summary of the family: Transfer RNA (tRNA) molecules are approximately 80 nucleotides in length. Their secondary structure includes four short double-helical elements and three loops (D, anti-codon, and T loops). Lineage: Eukaryota; Metazoa; Chordata; Aves; Sphenisciformes; Spheniscidae. The record is from RNAcentral.
AGAAACUUAGGAUAGCCAAACCGAAGGCCUUCAAAGCCUUAGACAAGAGUUAAACCCUCUUAGUUUCUG